GAUGAACGCUGGCGGCGUGCCUAACACAUGCAAGUCGAACGGAAAGACGGUGAGCUUGCGCCUUUAACGUUGGCGGCUGGCGGGUGAGUAACGCGUGGAUCGCCUUCUUAUUUUUCUGGGAUGAUUACGGAAAAAAGGAUAUGAUAAUAGAGCAUAUAUUGUACCGCAUGGAGCAAUGGAGAAUGACGGCUUUGGUGUCUCAUAUAGCUGGUUCCGAGCCGCAUUAGCUAGUUGGUAAGGUAACGGCCUACCAAGGCAACGAUGCGUAGCCGAGCUGAGAGGGUGAUCGGCCACACUGGAACUGAGACACGGUCCAGACUCCUACGGGAGGCAGCAGUGGGGAAUCUUCGGCAAUGGGCGAAAGCCUGACCCAGCAACGCCGCGUGGGUGAAGAAGGCCUUCGGGUCGUAAAGCCCUGUUAUUGGGGAAGAAAAAAUGUGGAAGGAACCAUGGCCGUCUUGACGGUACCCAAUCAAAAAGCACCGGCUAACUACGUG
Molecule: ribosomal RNA, 497 nt
Filed under: uncultured bacterium
Lineage: Bacteria
Description: partial 16S ribosomal RNA
Rfam family: Bacterial small subunit ribosomal RNA
Source: RNAcentral